This 584-nucleotide ribosomal RNA is filed under the name Parasesarma guttatum. RNAcentral's name for it is "partial 16S ribosomal RNA". It matches the Rfam family "Bacterial large subunit ribosomal RNA", at positions 1846 to 2665 of the family's 2925-position model. The record is from RNAcentral. Lineage: Eukaryota; Metazoa; Arthropoda; Malacostraca; Decapoda; Sesarmidae.
UAAAAAGUCUAGCCUGCUCACUGAAUUAUUUUUAAGAGCCGCGGUAUUUCUGACUGUGCAAAGGUAGCAUAAUCGUUAGUUUUUUAAUUGAAAUCUUGUAUGAAUGGUUUGACAAAAAAAAGACUGUCUUUAUUAUUAUUAAUUGAAUUUAACUUUUAAGUGAAAAGGCUUAAAUAAAUUAAAAAGACGAUAAGACCCUAUAAAGCUUUAUAUUAAUUUAUUAUCUAAUAAAAUUUUUUUUUAUAAAUAUUUGGUAAUAAAUUUUAUUUUAUUGGGGUGAUAAUGGUAAAAUGAUUAAUAACUGUUAAUUUUGUUAAAACAAAAAUAAAUGAAUAAAAUUAAUGAUUGAAUAAAUGAUCCUAUCUAAAGAUUUAAAGUUUAAGUUACUUUAGGGAUAACAGCGUAAUUUUUUUUGAGAGUUCUUAUCGAGAAAAAAGUUUGCGACCUCGAUGUUGAAUUAAAAUAUCUAUAUAAUUGUAGCAGUUAUAUAAGAAGGUCUGUUCGACCUUUAAAUUUUUACAUGAUUUGAGUUCAAACCGGUGUAAGCCAGGUUGGUUUCUAUCUUUUAAUAAUUGUAAAAAUUA